GUUGUCCUGCCAUGAUUGCUUUAUCCGUCAAGAGAGCCCGGGGUCAGGGUUGCAGUGUAGCAGGUGGUGACUGCCGUUACAAAGAGAGCCCCAUGUAACGUUGGGGGAGGCUAACUUUGUCGGGGAGAUCCAGGUUUGCUGCAAAGGCAUCAGAGGCACACUCCGUAAGCCCCCUACUGACUGACAGCUCCAGAGCCUAUUAUGCCAACUUUUUACAGACACCCAGCCAAGUGAGGGUGUGCAAAGAUGUUAUCAUCCUGCUGCCUGCUGAGAGAGAGAGAGAGAGACAGCCGACUCAAACCAAGUUGGCACGUGGGAGCGAGAGCUCCAGGGAGCGCCACGUGGGAAUCGACAAGUACCGUCCGCUGACCCCUCCCCUUACAGGGCAAACUGCCAACUGUGCAUAAGGGGAAUUUGGGUUGACAGAUAUAUUCUGUAGCUGUCCUACCUGGUCCUGUGGGAGAAUCGGUGUGUGAUGUUGACCCGGGAUGACGGAUGGCAAUGCCUGGAAGACCAACACCUGAGGAGGGAAGGAAGCUGCCCUGCCUGGAGAAGAGGAAUCAUGUUGACAGUACUGAUGAUGUCCAGCGUUUAACACAAAUAUAUAACUUGCACUUUAUAUAAAUGUAGGCUUUUGUGUAAUAAUGUUGAUGUCUUUGGAAGUCAUGUACUUUUUAAAUAGAAUGUAUUCAAUUUACAUUUAUCUCUUAUACAUAGCUUAUGGCUUUUCUUUUUCCCAUAUAUGUUCAAAAAGAUUUUUGUGAUCUUUAGGUCUGUCUUGAA
Micropterus dolomieu (smallmouth bass) is the source of this 783-nucleotide long non-coding RNA. RefSeq lists it as uncharacterized. The transcript is spliced from 4 exons. The record is from RefSeq and is a predicted model, not a curated record. Lineage: Eukaryota; Metazoa; Chordata; Actinopteri; Centrarchiformes; Centrarchidae.